AACGCACAUUGCGCCCCCUGGUAUUCCGGCGGGCAUGCCUGUUCGAGCGUCAUUUCGACACUCAAGCGAGGAGCUUGGUAUUGGGAUCUUGGCCCCCCGGGGGCCGUCCCGAAUGUCAGCGGCGACGCGACCGGAUUCCCAGCGCAGUGACAUAUUUCUCGCUGAUUGGAUCCCCGGGAGACGUCCGCCGGGCAACAGACCCUUUUUUUUAAGCUUGACCUCGGAUCAGGUAGGGAUACCCGCUGAACUUAA
RNAcentral lists this unclassified non-coding RNA (252 nucleotides) under uncultured fungus. Its description in RNAcentral is "partial contains 5.8S ribosomal RNA, internal transcribed spacer 2, and large subunit ribosomal RNA". The record is from RNAcentral. Lineage: Eukaryota; Fungi.